CGAGUAGGCGGAUAGACAAGUCAGAUGUGAAAUCUGGGGGCUUAACCCCCAAACUGCAUUUGAAACUGUAUAUCUUGAGUGAUGGAGAGGCAGGCGGAAUUCCCGGUGUAGCGGUGGAAUGCGUAGAUAUCGGGAGGAACACCAGUGGCGAAGGCGGUCUCCUGGACAGAUACUGACACUGAGGUGCGAAAGCGUGGGCAGCAAACA
This 207-nucleotide ribosomal RNA is filed under the name uncultured bacterium. RNAcentral describes it as "partial 16S ribosomal RNA". It matches the Rfam family "Bacterial small subunit ribosomal RNA", at positions 568 to 774 of the family's 1533-position model. The record is from RNAcentral.